CCAUGCAGUCGAACGAUGAAGCCUUUCGGGGUGGAUUAGUGGCGAACGGGUGAGUAACACGUGGGCAAUCUGCCCUUCACUCUGGGACAAGCCCUGGAAACGGGGUCUAAUACCGGAUAACACUCUGUCCUGCAUGGGACGGGGUUAAAAGCUCCGGCGGUGAAGGAUGAGCCCGCGGCCUAUCAGCUUGUUGGUGGGGUAAUGGCCUACCAAGGCGACGACGGGUAGCCGGCCUGAGAGGGCGACCGGCCACACUGGGACUGAGACACGGCCCAGACUCCUACGGGAGGCAGCAGUGGGGAAUAUUGCACAAUGGGCGAAAGCCUGAUGCAGCGACGCCGCGUGAGGGAUGACGGCCUUCGGGUUGUAAACCUCUUUCAGCAGGGAAGAAGCGAAAGUGACGGUACCUGCAGAAGAAGCGCCGGCUAACUACGUGCCAGCAGCCGCGGUAAUACGUAGGGCGCAAGCGUUGUCCGGAAUUAUUGGGCGUAAAGAGCUCGUAGGCGGCUUGUCACGUCGGAUGUGAAAGCCCGGGGCUUAACCCCGGGUCUGCAUUCGAUACGGGCUAGCUAGAGUGUGGUAGGGGAGAUCGGAAUUCCUGGUGUAGCGGUGAAAUGCGCAGAUAUCAGGAGGAACACCGGUGGCGAAGGCGGAUCUCUGGGCCAUUACUGACGCUGAGGAGCGAAAGCGUGGGGAGCGAACAG
RNAcentral lists this ribosomal RNA (704 nucleotides) under Streptomyces sp. RNAcentral describes it as "bacterial SSU rRNA". It matches the Rfam family "Bacterial small subunit ribosomal RNA", at positions 53 to 775 of the family's 1533-position model. Lineage: Bacteria; Bacillati; Actinomycetota; Actinomycetes; Kitasatosporales; Streptomycetaceae. The record is from RNAcentral.